AGAGUUUGAUCAUGGCUCAGGACGAACGCUGGCGGCGUGCUUAACACAUGCAAGUCGAACGAGGACCGAGAGCUUGCUCUCGGAGCCGAGUGGCGGACUGGUGAGUAACACGUGACCAACCUAUCUCGCGGAGAGGGACAACCUGGGGAAACUCGGGCUAAUACCACAUGAUAUCCGAGCCUCGCAUGGGGUUCGGCUCAAAGAGGGCCUCUGCUUGCAUGCUCUCGCCACGAGGGGGGGUCGCGUCGUAUCAGCUUGUUGGUGAGGUGACGGCUCACCAAGGCAACGACGCGUAGCGGGUCUGAGAGGACGACCCGUCACAUUGGGACUGAGAUACGGCCCAGACUCCUACGGGAGGCAGCAGUGGGGAAUAUUGCGCAAUGGUCGAAAGACUGACGCAGCGACGCCGCGUGUGGGAGGACGCCCUUCGGGGUGUAAACCACUGUCAGGAGGGAAGAAUCCCGGGUGCGCAAAUAGUGCAUCCGGUUGACGGUACCUCCAGAGGAAGCGCCGGCUAACUCCGUGCCAGCAGCCGCGGUAAGACGGAGGGCGCAAGCGUUGUUCGGAAUUACUGGGCGUAAAGCGCACGCAGGUGGCUCUUUAAGUCCACUGUGAAACUCCGGGGCUCAACUCCGGACAUGCAGUGGAUACUGGAGGGCUAGAGACCGGUAGAGGCUAGCGGAAUUCCAGGUGUAGCAGUGGAAUGCGUAGAUAUCUGGAAGAACACCAGUGGCGAAGGC
RNAcentral lists this ribosomal RNA (740 nucleotides) under uncultured bacterium. Its description in RNAcentral is "bacterial SSU rRNA". It matches the Rfam family "Bacterial small subunit ribosomal RNA", at positions 8 to 722 of the family's 1533-position model. The record is from RNAcentral.